This 253-nucleotide ribosomal RNA is filed under the name uncultured bacterium. RNAcentral describes it as "partial 16S ribosomal RNA". It matches the Rfam family "Bacterial small subunit ribosomal RNA", at positions 524 to 776 of the family's 1533-position model. The record is from RNAcentral.
UACGUAGGAUGCGAGCGUUAUCCGGAUUUAUUGGGUUUAAAGGGUGCGUAGGCGGCUUUAUAAGUCGUGGGUGAAAGUCAAACGCUUAACGUUUGGAUUGCCUGCGAUACUGUGAGGCUUGGAUUCGGUGGAGGUAACUGGAAUGGUUGAUGUAGCGGUGAAAUGCAUAGAUAUCAGCUGGAACGCCAAUUGCGAAGGCAAGUUACUGUACCGAGAUUGACGCUGAGGCACGAAAGCAUGGGGAGCAAACAGG